UGCUGGGGACCAACCAGUGCCUCAUAUUUCUGGAAACGCUGCAGCAUUCUACUUCAAUUUUAAUCUGGAUAACACCAAAGCUUUUCCUUAAAUUCACCACUGGAGUUAGCUCAUAGAUGCACUGAUUUUGUAUAUCAUCUCUCCUCCUUAAUAUCUCUCACACAGGUGCCAUUGACCUUUAGAUGGGCUGCACAGUGUGGGGUCCAGUGCCAUGGAUCUACUUCUCCAGGGACCAGGAUCUUGAGAUCUUCAGGCUGGGUUUCCAUGGAAGCAUGGAGCUGCUUUUCCUCCUGCGUAACUGCACUCAAAACAGCCCGGUUUCUCUAGAAUGGAGACUUGGGCAACUCCUUCUGGUACAGACUUGCUCACCUCAGGGAAAUGCAAAUGGAAGCAAGCUGUAGGCAGUUUCACCCCAAGUCCAUGGGUUCUCAGCUGGCUAACCCAUGAUGUCAAUCCUGUAGCAAUCUAAGGCUUGAGAAAAAUUAAUCUCUGGAAAAUUCCAAGACUACAUCUUAGGGAGCCUGGCUUUAUCUCUAUGUCUUGGAUCAUACAAGGAUAUGCUUCUAAUUUCGGACUAGAACUCAAAGAGUAUUGGCCAAUGAAUGUGUUUCCUAGAACUAUCCCAGUGUGUUCACCAUACAGAGGAAGAUUCUGAGAUUCAAGACUCAAGACUGAAGAAAAUCGUUAUUUUUAUUGUUUUAGUCUUAUGCACAAAAUGGUACCAACGAAUAAGCAGGUUUUUAGUGGGUGACUUAUAUAUAAGCAAAAAUAAACACUUUAUCUUCUAGAUCUAUUGCAGUUUUCCAGCAGCUGUAGAUUUAAGUGCAAACUUUUAGCCCACAGGAUAAGAAGAAAGCAAGUCCUGAACGUAGGCCGGCACCAGGAUUCAAGCCUCUGACUCCAAGGCAAGGGCUCAUCAUCUUGAAUCGUGCAUGAAUUUUCACAUAGCGCCAGAGGAAACUCCUUGUACUUUCUGUUGUAGGUGCUUUGCUGGAUUCGGGAUGCAGACAAGGUCCACACACUGUGGUUGGGUGACGUGUCUCUUAGGUCUCUUUUAAUCUGUAAUACCUCUUCCUCUCUUUAUAGAAUGCAUUUACUUGUUGAAAAACUUGGUCACGGGUCAUUUUUCUGUAGAGUGGAUUAUGUUCUGGAUGUAGCCAAAUGCCCUCUUGUCAAAGAUUUAUCUUCCAUGCUUCCUGCAGGUGGUUAUAUCCUCCAAGGAUUGAUUAAACUCAGGUAUUUUUUUUUUUUUGGCAAAAUCACUUCAUAUGAAUGCUGUGCAUUUCCUGUUGCACCUUCAUCACAUCAGGAAGAAACGAUACCUAGACUUCCUGCUUUUAAUGCUGUUAAGAUUGAUGAGUUAGGUGUCAUGGACCUCGGAGUUACUAAUCGUCUACAUUUCUAUUGGCAAUUUCCUCCAGAAUUCAGAAAUUGGUGGUGAGCAUGAUGGUUGGGAGUGCUGGGUUGGAGUCAGACAGCUUCUGUUUGAGUAACAGUUCUGAAAGUCACUUGUCAUUGCCACAGCUAGGUCGCUCAAGCCCUCAGACCUUUCAGGCCUGACUCAGCUUUAGGAGUGGAUACUCCACUUUUGAGUGGGACUACUGUUUGAGUGGGUUGAGUUCUGUGAGCUGGGCUUUGGCCCAGGUGCAGAAGAGUGGUAGCUGUAGUUUAGUGGCAUUGGUUUCAAGCAGAUGGAAUUUGUUUAGAUGACCUUAAAGGUCUUUCCAAAUCUGAUGUCCUAGGAUGAAUUAUCAGAAGGCCUAUAGUUUGGUUACCACAUAUUAAAGGUAAAUCUGAGGGUAGGAGCACUCAUCAUUCAGUUGUAAUAGCUGAAUAGAGAUGAUAAUUCUGCCAGAUUUGGGUCCUGUGGGCCGAGUUGAGAGGUCUGUAAAUUCACAUUCACUCUUCAAGUCCUGGUUUAUAGCAGCCUGCCAAGUAUGUCACUAAGAUGAAGACAGACGAUAAUGACUACAUUUUGGUAAUUCAUUUACUUUACUGAAAUCGGUGCUCAGUCAUGUUACAGGCAAGACUCCAUCUGGUUCCCAUCAAUGAUGGAGGGAGCACCGUGUCUGGACAGAGGGCCUGCAUCUUCGUCUAUGCAGAAAAGCUGCAUGGAUUAUCCAGCAAAUCACGGUAUAGACCACCAGCUGGGCCAGUCCAGGUCCAAGCCAGCCGGGUGACUCUCUCCUGCUGUUCAUUCACUUCUUCGUUUGACAAGUACUAUGGACACCUGCUGUGUGCCAGGCACUGCUGAGGUGCCUGUGGGGAGAUCAGGAGCUGAUGCAUAUUCCAACUGAGGGGUGGCAGUGUAACCAACAAUGGACAUAAUCCCCAGAUCAUAGAGCAAGACACGGGUGAUGCAAAAAUGGCAAAGAAAGCUUUGUGCACACUAAGAGGUUUCUUGUUUCCUGAGAAGGAUAUGGAUUGCAGUCUAAGGUAGGAUGGAAGUUGGUCCGAGAUGUGAGCCUGGCUGACAAGAUCAGGCAGGAAAUGUCUUCUUCAGAUCCCACCUGCUCAGUAGACCACCUGCUCGGCACUGAUCUGGGCCUUAGUGUAACUACCGAGCACAAGAUGACCAUUGCCACUUGGCAUUGCUCUCCUGGACGCCUGGAUCAUGGUGCUGCCCGUCCCUCUGCUGCCUCCUCUCUGUGUCCUCUCAGUGGUCUUGAGCCCCAUUCCCUCCAGGGUUGUCUUCAGGCCAUGACUUGCAUGUUGGCUCUCUCUGGGGCUCACGGUGCUUCAUUCAUUCCUAAAGGUGCUUUCUCCUCCUUACCCUGGUGUAGACUAAAAGGUUUCCUGAUCCCAUUGCUUUGCCAGGACAAUAUUGCUUCCCAGGGAAGACGCUCCUGGCACAUUUUAGGCACUUCUGGAAGAACACCAUGUCGUCAUCAUCAUCACCAUCAUCAUCAGAUCUCCCCCAAGCCCCAUCUGGGAGGGUUGCGUGGGAGCCACACGUGGACUUAGGGAGCUCUCCCGAGCCUGCACUGAUGGCUGGCCCAGCCCAGGCUUUUGUUUGCCACAGGAAGACAGCUUUGUGCAAACCCUUGUUUAACCUGGCCUUCCCUCUUUAGAAAGAGAAUGUUCACUAGAUGAAUCAUGCCUAAUGUGUUCACUGGAGCCAGAGGACUUUGGCUCCCAGGCUGUUUACUUCAGCCCAGACUUUGUCCCGUAAGUGUUCUUAGGAAAUGACAAUGAACAGAAAAUUGUCAUUGUUUUUGCUGAAAAAAAAAAAAAAAGUUGAAUAGUUUCCCUGGCCCAGGCUGGCUGGUAGCAACCUUGGCCCCAGCAUGCUCUUCAGCCCCCUACUCUCCCCAGCAGGGCCACUGUGCCCUCGUCUGUCCACCCUAUUCUGUGACCAGGUGCCCUGGUGCGCCCUUGCCCAGGGGCUUUCUGUGCACAAGAUAACGCAUGGUUUGGGUUGAUGUCUGAUGGGCUCACAUGGGCAAGGCUGUGCUGCAGCUGUGCUGGGGGCCUGGUGCUCAUGUGGGGCCCUCACCUGGUUUUGCUGUUGACUUCCUCCCACCACUGCCUACCUUGGGUGGGAGGGCACCUGGCCUUCAGGCAGGGAGGACUUGGAGAAGCAGAGGUGCUGCAGUCAGGAUCUGUAUUUGAGUUUUGGCAGCCUGGAUGAAAUCCUGCCUCUGUCACCUGCCAGCUGUGUGUGAGUGGCCAGGUCCCUUGACCCAUGCUGAGUUACCAUGCUCUUUUGGCCUAUUUCCCGCUUGUGACAUUAGAAGCAAUCUCUAAGACAUCAUGGAGUGGACAUUGAGCUUGCCCUCCCGCCUGCACAGAAAGCAGGUCCUGAGGCAGCUUCCUGCAGCCCCGGGGACCCUGCAACAUCUUUGAGGCUCGGAGGUCUCGGUGUCUGACUCCGGCUCAAGUGCAGCUGCAGCUCUAGAGGAAGCAAUCCAUACGACAGGGAAGCGAGGAGGCGGGGGUCGCGUCCGGCAUGCCCACUGCAGGGGCUGGGAGAGCCACCACAGCAGUAGUGACAGAGCCAGGGAACAAUGCCAUCCUGUGAUGAGCAGUCCUGUCUUUAACCCAAAUGAUGUGUCUGCAGAAACUGGUUGCAUUUGCUACUUUGACAGGUGGACAAUGUUUUAGUGUCUUAAUUAGCAUGUUGGGUAAUUGCUGCCAUUAAUCUUGUUCUUUUUUUCCAUGUUCAUUGGCCAUUUUGACUUCUCUAUACCCAUCUUCCUUAUUGAAAAACAUGAUAGGAAACUUUUAGUUAUUAAAUUAUGAAGACCUAAUGCAUGGCAUGAUGACUAUUGUUAAUACUACUGCAUUAUGUAUUUGAAAUUUGCUAAUAGUGUAGAUUUCAAGUAUUCUUAUAAAAAUGUGGUGAUGGAUAUGGUGAUUAGCUUGAUCCUGAUAAUCUUACAAUGCAUGUGUAUAUCAAAACAUCAUCUUGUACACCUUAAAUACUCAACUUUUCUUUGUCAGUUAUACUUCAAUAAAGCUUGGAAAACACACACACACGCAUUCACACACACAAAACAGACAACUGCAGAAUUCCUCUGGUGGGCCUGGGCUGAGUCCUGGGGCUGUUUGUGCUCCUGGCCCUCUCUCUAUCCUCAGAUGGUGUGGUGCUGCUUCCCUCUGCCCUCCUCCUCUCUCUAAAGCCCUGUCCAUCUGGCUCAUACUCUUAGACUAGAGUGGAAACUGUGCCCUCCAAAUCCAUAGGAGUCUUGCCCUGUGUCUCCUCCCGACCCCAUGGUGGGUGGGAGCAGUCUCUCUGCCCUUCUGCUCAUCCACUCUUGUCUCCGUCUCUCCUGGUCAUUCCUGCUGCCCACCAUUCUCUCCUGGGCUCAGUGUGCUUUCUGCACAUUUCCCCACAUGUGUCCUUCACAGCCCCUCUGUGAAUUCUGCAUGUGUCCCCUGAGUGGACUCUGUAGUCCCUGCUCACCCCACACUCCCUCGCCCUGUGUCCUGAGCAUAGAUCUGCAGGUUACAGUGGCUGGUGAGCAUCUCCACAUUGUGACAUUCUACUGGGACCUGGAGCAUCUGCCCCUGUCAACAGCCUCAGCACAGAAUCCCUGGCCAUCCAGCUCCGAUGGGGACAUGGAACCUGCCUCUCCUUCCUGCCAGUCUCUUAGUUGUCUGUGCCUUCACCCUGUAGUGGUCUAUUCAAUCUGUAAGUCAAGCCGUUCUUGUUUCCCUAUCUGUGGAGUCAUUAAUUCAAUUCCCGCGAGCUCAGUGGCUGCGGUUUGAUCAUUCCCAUCCAUUCCUGGGCUUCUUCAGCCUUGUCCUGCACUGCCUUAUUUCUUACAAGAUGGUAGCAUCAUGGGGAGAAUGGAAUUCCUAGCUUUGUUUUUCUCCUUUCAAGCCACCAUGAUGGUCCCCAACACAGCUCCAAUCCUACCUCUCACAUAUUCAAAAGCGUUAACAUCUCCUAACUCACCCUGAUUGUUUUCACAUGUAACCCAAAGUCCCUGCACUCUGUCGCCUACUGACUUUCCAGCCUUUUUGGGAUGAUCUCUCGGUACAGCCCUUGGAAUUCUCUCAUUGUCUCUCUUCUCCAGCGUCUCAACAGCGUUUGCCAUUGCUCACUGUUCCCUCCUCCUGACACACCCUCUUGGCCUCCAGGCCACAUUCUCUCUCCUGGUUCUCCCCGCACUGGACACAGCUAUGAGGCUCAUUGUCCAUGGAGGGCAAUCGUGACUCAGGCCCUGGCUGUUGCUCUUUCUUACGUGGAGCUCCCUCUGGCUGCCUCAUUUAGGACUUUGGAUUUGUGAGCACCUGUGUGAAGCUGACACAGACAUUGAAAUAUCUUUCUAGAGCUUUGUUCUCAGCUCCAGAAACACACAGCCAACUGUCUUCCUGAAGCUCCCAUGUAGAUGGCACCUGGGUCUUGCCGUAAUAAAAAUGGAACCUGAAUCUGGAGGUCUAAGUCACAUCUUGCUCUCAUGCUCCUCCUGUUAGGGUAUCACUGUGGAGACAACAAACCCUCAUCUACUCCAGAUGCAGUCUGUCUCCUCUGAUUCUGCCUAUCAGUGAUUUCAGACACAUCUGUCUUUAUCCACAGCCAGUGUCUCAGUCGGAGCCGCAGCAGCCCUCUCCUGCAUGGUGGAAAUGGCCAGGAGGCCUCUCGGCGCUGGUCCUGUUACUUGCAAGCAUCUCUCUGAACUGCAUCUGGCCAGUGUGGCCUUUUUUAAAGCUUCAUUGUGCCGCUGUCCUGCCUAAAUCCUUCAAUGGCUCUACAUUCUUCUUUACAUGCUUUCUUUUUUUUUUUCAGAACAAAGACUAUAUCCUUACCCGGCCCACAGCCCUCCCAAUUCCGGCCACAACCUCUCAUGAGGCUGAUCUCACCAUGAGCCCCUCUUCUAGGUGUCUGCAUGUUGCUCUGUUUGCCCCCAGGACCAUCCACUGCCUCUUUGGUCUGUUGGCAUGUACUUGUCCUCCAGACCUUAGUUCAAAGGUGAGCUCCUCACAGAAGCUUUGCUGGAGGUCCCAGGAGCAGGGAAUGUGUGUGUUCUCUCCUUUGAGGCACCUCCCACAGUGUUCAUUUGCAUGGCUUGUGUGAUUAUUUGGUGGAUGACAGUUUUCCAAGUGCUGUGGGGGGUCGCACCUCCUUCUCCUGAACCACUAGUUGGGGGAAUAAAUGUCCCUUCUUCCAGCAUGGUUUGACAUCACACAGACACAGUUUGGUGGUCUUUAGCACAAGUCACUGGGCUUUGAUAAACACCCUUCACCAUGAGGGAAAUGAGAGUCAGAUGACUUAAGGAUCGCCCCAAAUCAGGUGGAAAAUCUGGACGCUCCUGGUCGCAGGCCAGCAGGUCUUGGUGCCUUCAGAUCCCUAGAGUAUCCUAAUUUGGCUACAGUUUUCUGUCUGCAGAAAGGCCCUGAAGGGAAGACGCCAGGCUGGAGCAAGAGUGACUCAUCCUGGGACCUCAUUGUGCCUGAUUCACCCGGAGGAAGCCUUGCAUGGACACCGCUAGCCUCUGGAGAGAUUUCAGAUCUUUGGGAACAGAGUAGGGUUCCUGUCUUUGUAAUGAGCGAGUUACUGGCUCUCUUCUGCCCUGUUUGCCACCUUCCCUCUGUUUCUGUGGCUUCUUUUUUGGCAGGCCCUGAGCCUGGUGGACCCCAUCACGACUUCUUUCUGUGAGUCUGAUCUGUCCUGCAUCCUGACUGCAGCUGUACCUGGCCCCAGAGCCCCACCUCCUAGCUGGCAGGCAGGAUUCCUCCCCUAACCCAUUAGGGCCUCGCCUCUGGAGGCAAUUACUGCCUGGCCUGUGAAAAUAUAUAAGGAGAAUUGAAGAGCGAUCAUAUUACAUCCUUCAUAUUUUGCCAGCAAUAAAUCCAGUUCCUUUCCUCUCAGGUGGACUCUCAACUCUAUAAAUUAAGAGUCUACUUCUAAGGAGGAAGAUUUCACAGGGCCCAAGGUUCUGUAUGACCUGCUCGCAUUUCAAGGGAUGACCUAAAAGCUGGGGGAUUUCAGAACUGCAGGAAGUCAUGCCGAGAGAUUGGUGGCUUUAGGAUCUGUGUCCCACUCACAGCCCUCCCACCUCUCCUGUGCUUCCUGCCAGCUUGGACCUCAGGACCUCUCUAGAUGCAUUUAGGACUGUUUAGCAGGCAGGUGAUGGGGAAGCACCCACAAGGAUAGAGUUGGAAAUAAGAAACAAGCUAAAGCCAGGGCUUUGGGAAAUGGAGCUCACAUCCCCAAAACAUAGCAUGCAGAACAAUGUUUAUGAAUCUUAUUGGGCAUAAGACUCACCUGGAAGAGAUAAAAAUGCAGAUUUCAAGGCCUCUCCCCAGAGAGUCUGCCUGAGUCUCAGGACCUGUGCUCUGGCCUUGGCUGUCUGACCUUCCCCAUCCCUGGAUUCUGCUUUUCUCUUAAUCGAGUCCCCCAUAAUCUUUCCUGGUGAUGUGUAUCACGUUGGGGUCACCAGCUGAGAUGCUGAUCAUCACCUGUGGAGGUCUGUCCUGCAGAUCCUGACACAGCGACAAAUGAAUGAAAUAUACUCUCACACACCAGAGUACAGGGAAUUCAAGUAGGCUAGGGAGGUCAUCAGCUGCUCUCACAGGGUGAUUGCAGCUAACUGACCAUGACUCUCUGUUCCUCCUCACAUUUAUUCAGCAUAGAUUUAAUAACAGAGGUUCUAAGUCAAUAUGCUUGUGGAUAAUUAACAUGGUUAAAAUAGUGGUUUUAUGAAUGAUGAAAGGUCUUGGUUCCAGGGCCCAGAAUAAACACCAUUACUGGGUAAUUUCCCUUUGACCUCCCAUGAGAGGACCAUCCAACACAAAGUUUACAUGAGUAAAGAGAGUAGAGACAAAAGAAGUGAGGUAAAAGACUUAACUGGGGAAGCUUUUAUUAUCCUAAUCUUCACUUCUAUGACUUACUGCUCUAAUGAAAGAACUGAGCCUGUUCGUUAAAACAGGUUGUGGGGGUGGACGCUCAGUGGCAUCCCCUCCCUUUUGUGUUCAUUCCGUCAGUGGACCUGCAGCUGAGGGUGCCCUUAGGUAGGCCAGGCAGAGACUCCGGUCCCUGACCAGGCAUUCUAGCACCUCUCCUUGGAUGUUACCCAGCUCAGAGCCCUGGGCAAGCUGUGGACAGAAGCUUGGUCUCCUGGGAGGAGGCCCCAUAGUGAGCCUCUUCUCACGGACCAUAGAUCCUGGGUGGUGGUCCUGGUGGGGAGCACCAAUUUGAGGGGUCAGGAAACAGUAUGUGUUGGGGCCUUCCCAUUUGAGGACACAGAUUCACCCUAUUUUGUUUGUUUCAUGGAUAGAGUGUCUGGAGACCCAGCGUGUCAAAGCACAGGGCACAGACCUCACCCUGAGUCAGGCAGAGCCCAUGACAGCACUCCUGGGAUGAGAGGUGGAGAGCGCAGAAGCCCACCCCAGCCUGCAGUGGCUGAGGACACUGGGUUUGGCACAGACAUGGCUCCAGAAUGGAUCUCUGGUGUGUGUAGGAGGAGGAGGUGAAGGAGUGGGGGGCUGACUUUGCCUCACCUCUGCAGGAGGCUCAGCCGGCUCCUGGCUGGUAUUAAUGUGACACAGGCAAGGAGCACUUCCAUCAAUUGCUGAUGUGUACAGGGGCAGUGGUAUUUGCUCAGCCACCUUCUACUCCCUGUAAGGACAAGGCUCUUGGUGGUCACACUCGGAUGGGCGUCAGACUCACCUGGCAGCGCUGAGAAAUCCCUGGAGUCCCAUCCACUCUGAGGACCCUGGGGCUUGGUGCUCCUUAUGAUCCUCCCAGGUGACUUGGACACACAUCAAAGUCUGAGAACCACUGGCUGGACGACAUGGAGUGUGUCAGGACAGGAUGGUUCCCUGUGUGGACAGAAUUGUUAAUAGGCCAGCGGGAGGAGCCAUGGACCCCAGUCACAAUGUCUCUGUAAGGCCUGACCCAGAGUUUUCCACCCUGGUUGCCUGUUAAAAUCAGCUGAGGAGUUUAAAGAAGAUGCCUGACCUCUCCCCAGAUAGUCUGCUUUCAUUGGUGUGCAGUGGGGGGCCAGGCCUGGGUCCUGCUGAAGCUCUCUGAGUCUGUUGAAUGUGCUGUCCUGGCUAAUGAGAACUCUCAACCCACAUGGACACUUGUUUUUAUAUUGGUUUUAGACUCUGUCUUUGCUCACAGGGGAUGCUUGCAAAGACUACUCAGGAUUGCUAAGCCCACAUUUUUAGAUUGAGAACCAGAAAUCUUAAGAAUGGUGACCAUGUUCCAUCCACGUGUAUUGGAAAAAGGGUCUGUCAUGGUUGGAAUAGGAUGUUUCUUACCCAUUGGAUUUUGCUUUCAGGUCAAUGCCAUUAUACACACACAGAGACACACAAACACACACACACACAGCAGAGUGGGAGGCUGAUUUGCGUAAAGGGACUAACUUCUGCAGAGCCUUGUCAAAGGGCUGAGAGCAUUCACCUUCCUUAGGGAGAGGGUGGUGCGUGGGGUGGCUUGACUCAUUUUAUUUUUGUCGCCCUCUGACUUGGGGGUGACUUCUUCCCCAGGUCUGUGCCUAAAGGACCUGGGGAAGAUGCAUUUGGGAGCCACGGUCACACAGAGAGCUGCUGUUGUCAGAAACAAUCUCAGGCCUUUGCAACCUGCUAUUGUGCAUGUUCAUUCCCAAGGGCUCAGCCCCCCAGGAGUCGUAGGAGAACAAAGGCAGCAGUGCUUGCCAUGCGAGGCAAACGUGCUUCAAGACCACAGAGGAUGGGGAUCUCCGCGGGGACCACCUGGAGCUGCCAACUGCCUGGCCCCACUGGAGACUCGGAGCUCUGCACACGCAACUGGCCUGCCCUGACCUGCCCCUGGGGCCACGCCCUCAGCAUUUCCACUCAAGUGGACUCCCUUCCUUUACUGGCCUCAGAAUUGAGAGGAGAGGUGCAAGUCUAAACAGGGAGCAGGAAGACAACAUCCCAACGUCACCUAGUGACAGGGAGGGCUGUGCCACCAGGCAUGGUGGGCACAGAGCCUACAUUGGCCGAGCCCGCAGCGGGGUGCCCACGGGUGAAGUUCUGCUCAUAUGGCCUUAUCUUUUCACACAAAGGUCCUGUGGGUACAUGGCAAUUUCCAUAAAUGACAGCUCAGGAGGAUGGGAGAGUAGAGUCCAGCUUUAACUUAGCUUAAAAUAAUUAAACCAAACACACCAAAUGCACACAAAAAACGUGCACUUGCUCCAAAUAGUCCCCAUUCCUGAGAUGUUCUUGGAUGGUACAGGCUGCCUGGCAGAAUGUGACAUGGUGACAAGGGAUGCUCUGGAGAAAUCCAAGCCAUACCAGCUUCCACCCGGAUGCUGUUUCAGUGUUCACCACCCGGGGACAGUGGCUGGAAUACAGGGGCAGUGGCAAGGGCACCUGACUUCCCUGGGCUCUGCUGCCUCCACAUUUGCAGCCUCAGAGCAGAGAACUGCCUGCCUUCCACUCUGCCCUGCCUGGAGAGCUGCGGCUGAGACAGCUGCUGAGCCUCACCAAGCACCCCCUUCUCAGGCCACCAAUGGGCUGAGAAUGUUUUCUGAGAAUGUUUUCUGGAUUAACAAUUAUUUUUAGAUACCAUUUCUUUUUCAUGCUUUCAUAUAAAGCAAGACCAUGUCAUUAUAACAAUCUGCUACUGAAAAUGUUUCUCACAAAGGUAUCAGCCAGUGAAUAUUUUCUCCUGAAACAAGAAUAUGUGUUGAAUAAAUAUAGAAUGAAGUUUAAUUUAUGUUAGAUUUUUAUAAAGUAUGUAUCUCUUCAAAUCCACAUGUGUCCAUGUUAUUACUGCAGAAUCUCAAAUCAUUAAGAAAAAAUUACAAACUCCAUUUAUGUAAACAUAUUCUAACACAGUCCAACUUGUUUUGUUAAAGUCCUAUUUGAUAUAGAAGGGGGACUAUUUUCAGGGUUCACCACCCACCUACUCUUUAAAGACAAAUAUUACUCAAAUAUUAAUGUUCUCCACCAGGUAGGCUAAGAAGAGCACAACUACAAAGUCUUUACUUUCAGUAUUCCAUGUCAAUUAUCUUAUUUAAUGAGUUUAAAUUAAUAACGGUUUAAUUUAAGCAUUCUCUUUUUACCAUUUUAGUAUAAACAAACAUGACCAUUGUUGGUUCUGAACAUUUCUUGGCCAGAGAAGUCAACAUUUCUUGACAUCCAGCUCUCCUGAGCUGCUGUAUUCCAAAUUAAAAAGGAAGGAUUUUAAAACAGGAUUCCAAAGAAAUUCUAUGCUUCUUUUUUUCUAUUUGAGUAAUUGCUAAUAAGAUUAGAUUAGUCAAUGGUUAGACCUGAGACCAAAUGGCAGUGAGGCUUAUUUGAGCUCAAUCUGGAUGUUUUAGGCUCACGCACGGCAUCCCCAGCCUGGUGAGAGGUGAACUUCUCUUUGCCACGAACGCAUCCUCAGAGGUGGAGGUUAUAAUCAGGUCACUCAGUAAAUGUCCAGCACCUCCUUGGUGCCAGGCUCACCAUGCUGAGUCCUGGGGCUGCAGCCCUGAAUGAGAAUGCUGGGUUCCUGGCAUCUCAGUACCUGCAGAACCAUGCAGGAGGUGGAGAGAGCAAACGCAGAGCGGGUGAGUCACGGUGGGGCAGGAGAGUCAAGUGGUGCAGCCACAGAGGAGCAGACAAGGACUUGUUUAGACAGGGCUGUCAAAAAGACCUUGUUAAGGAGGUGGGCCUGGAACCAGUCAUAACUGAGUGUGAAAUCCCAGAGCUGAAAGUAACCUCAGGAGUCAUAGGGUGUAACUACACUGGUCACAGAUGCAGGGAGGUGCAGGACCAGAACAGAACCUCCUGUGGGAGAGGCAGAGCCACCUCAGGACCCAGGAGUCUGGGCUCCCAGUGCCAUCCUGCCUUUUCCAGGAAGACUCGCCUAUGGGUUCUACUGUAUAAGGUAGAUUCUGAGACCGAAGGACCUCUCCAAUUCCUAGAUAGUGGAAUUCUGAAACUGAGAGCAAGGGGCAUUUGCCACACAUGGCAAAUUUACCAGGUCAUGAAUCCUGUGAUAGACUGAGUUUUCUGGAUUAACAAAUUACAUCGAUUCCUAGUCAGAUGGAUACCAAACCAUCUUGACUUUCUACUGCAUUGACUCAGCCAAGAAAUGAGCUCACCUCCUGAGAGGUGGGUGGAGGCCUGCCAGAGGUUUAUAGAAACCUUCUGAGGAGCUGCUCUGCUAAGGGUGAGCUUGGCGCUCCUUGCAUCCCUGGGGCCUUCCCUCUGAAGAACACAUUGCUGGAGAGGAGCCCUUGCUUUUAGUUCUCAGCUCUCAAGAGUAGGCGCUUUCCUCUGAGCCUGGAGUCUUGUCUUUGCCAAUAAGGCCACUUAUGGAGGCUUGGAAGUUGUGUGGAUCUGGCUGGAGCAGCUGGUGUAGAGAAAACCCCCACCAUCCAGGAGCCCUGGCUCCAGCAAUAGUAGAGUGAAGGGUGAGGGGCAGUGAGAGGACCCCAGCCAUCUUAGCUGAACUGCACCGAGGCUUCCUGCAGAACUGGGCUCCUCUUGCUAAGCUUGGGCUCCUUUCCACGUGUUCAAGGCUCUCCUUGGAGUCAUGCCAUCCAAUUAUGUGGCACUUGUGGGGCUGAGCUCAGGUCUGGAGUCUGCAGAGUUCAAGACGCCUUCACAUGGGGUAGAGUCUAGAUGUGGCAUAAGGGACAGCUCACGCAUGAGGUGCAUUUGACCUUGAGAAGAGACCCAGAGGGGAGGAGGCUAGUCCAGUGCUGGGAGGACAGUCCUAUGGAGCAUUAGGAAUAUCAGCAGGGUAAGUUUCAGACUCUGGUUCCUACAAGACUAGGCAACUUCGGUCGUGUCCUGCUCAGAGGAGGCAUCUCACACCGGCUGGUCUUGUGGAUAAUCGCACGACUGGUCAUGAGAAAUGCUACGGUGUGGCCUGUCACAGGAGCCGACGUCACACAUAUUUAAGGCUGACACGCAUCUGGAGCUUGGAUAGGGCUGUGCUUACGUCUGCCUUUCACAGAAGAGCAGAAACGGAGAGAUGAGAGGCCAGGGUGGGUCUGAGGCUGUUCUCCAGUCACUUCAGGCUUGGCUCGCAGCCCGACUUCCUGCCCUACAGCCUCCUGCCCCUGCCGCCAGAACGGCUGAGCCUGCUGAUGACAAAGCCACAGCUCACAGGCUGACAAUUUUGUCUGGACUUCUAUCAAGGCCGGGACUGCAGUCAAUAGCACAUGCAGGAAAUUUUAAAAGAUCAAGAGCAGCUAACAACAAAAUCCACUCUGGGAUGUUUUUAACCAAACAAUCGAGGAUUCAGUGCUUUCCGGGGGUGAGGACCAAAGCAGAGCAGGACCGGCGGCCAGCAUCACCUCUUCCAUCUUCCGUCUGUCCUGAGCCACGAAGGACAGCCUAAAAAUAGUGCCUGGACCUCACACCAUCAGUGCUUUUGUUACUUACCCUCUUUGGUCUUUUGAAAAACAUAUUUAUCGGGACUGAGAGUCUUCCAUCAUUUGUAUUUAUAGAGUUCUUUUUUUCUGAAGUUGUGAACGUGCCUAUUCUCAUUUCUGGGAAGUCAGUGGCAGGACUUUGGUGGUGAGGGGAACGUGGCUUCCACUGGGUUUUGGAGGGAGGUGGUGGAAGAGUGAGGUGAGAGCACCAGGCAUCUGGGGUUGGAGCCCGUGUGGGCUCAGUGGCUCUCUGACUCUUCCUAAGAAAGAACAGUGCCCUCCUUGCCCUUCUCUACCCAAAGCCCCCCCAGGCUUCUCUGAAUCACACCUUUCCUAGGAGGCCUUCUGGGAAGCUGAGCCAGGUCCAUGGUGCCUCUUGCUCCUCCUUCAAGUCACACUCACAGGUGCCUAUCUCUGGCACGUCUCGGGAGGGCAGGGGCCGAGCCUCUGCUCUGUUCCAGAUGCCCACAGCCCCUGGUUGACACAGUCUGCAAGCUUGAGUGGAGGGGGCGCCUAGUCCCCAGCACUAAACGGCAAUUCAGACCUAAAUCCCAAAGGAGACAGCCGCCAAGGGCAGCUGACCCACAGCCCUCGCAGACUGCAAGCUGUGGCUUUCGAGGCCAGCUUUCUCCUUGCCGGCUUUCCUGUGGGCUCUGGCCAGUCUUGUCAUUUUGCUAUGUUUCAGUUCAUUCAUCUGAAUUGUGGUAAGAUAUUGCACAGAGAAUUGUGAGUGGUUACAAAGAGACCCAGAGAAGUUGUCUCCCAAAACUGGAAGUUCCAUGGACCUGGAAUAACCAUGCUGUGCCCAUCUUCCUCAUGGAGCGACAGAGUGAAAAGCCACGGCUGAGUGGGAUUGGCCCAUCAUUGGUACUGGCUUCAGAACACUGACCACAGCCAGGGGAGGGUGGCUGGCCCAGGAGGCAGGUCACACCUGGCUCUACACACUCCCAGCUUUCCUUUAGGAAAAGCCCGUGGCCCGGUGGGUAGAAAUCAAGUGUGACUUGGAUGGGUCACCUGAAGCAGAGGAUCCAAUCUCAGUCCCAGGCGCCUCCACUUCCUGGUGCUGGACAACUGCAUUGCCCCAGGCGCCCCUAGCAGAUGAGUGUCCAGCUGUGCAGGCCGCAGCCAGGUGACUCGGGUGUCUGUGAUCUGCUCUCACUUUCUGAGCUGAUCCCCACAUGGCUGCGAAGACCUCGCCCCACGGCCCAUGCAUCCCGCUUGCUGAUGCCGCUUCCCUAGUGGUGGCAUGGAAAUCAUGAAAGGCUAGGUGAACAUUUCCUGUGGGAGACGGAGUUGCAGGCAUUCUCAGAAAAGGAGGGCACUUUGGAAAGGGCUGGAGAUGAAACUGCUAAGUGGGAUGGAAAGCCAGUCUCCACAGAGACGCGGGAGGGAUGUCAGCAUGGAGGAGAGAAGGGAUCAGGCCCGCUCCCGACACCACAGGCUGCCAAGAGGCCGGACACAGGGCAGAAUAAGGAAACGCUCGUGUGGGCAUUGGGGUUUGUCCUCACUUGCUUCAUGCUGCUGCUUCCCACCUUAAUUGCUUCAUAAAUCUUGAACAAUUUAUGAACCUCCCUGAGCCCCAGUUUUGUCAUCCGUAAGAUGGCUGUUAAAUUACAUACCUCUCCAGCAAUAAGCAGAUUUAAUGAGAAAAAACAUAUAAAGAAUAACAACAAAUAUCAUAAAACACCUUGGAGUAUUUUUAAGGAAAAUCAGUGUGAUUGCAAUCAAGAAAAUUCCAAAACUUUACUGGCAUAUAAAAUGCACACAAAAAAAUCACAUACACAUUUGAACAAUAUCAUGUUCCUGAAUAAGAAAAUGACUGUUGUGGAAAUAUCAGUUGCUCCCAGAUUAAUGCACAAAUUUAGUGUAGGUCAUUUCAAUAUCCUUGUGGCUAUUUUAGAAACAACCAAUUCUGAAGUUACUGUGAAAAUAAUUAUGUGAGUGUUUAACAUAGAUCUUUGAAUAAAAAGAUUGGGUUUUAUCAUUGUUAAACAAUGUUAUCGGGAUA
Molecule: non-coding RNA, 15798 nt
Organism: Callithrix jacchus (white-tufted-ear marmoset)
Lineage: Eukaryota; Metazoa; Chordata; Mammalia; Primates; Cebidae
Source: RefSeq, a predicted model, not a curated record